GAUGAACGCUGGCGGCGUGCCUAAUACAUGCAAGUCGAGCGAACAGACGAGGAGCUUGCUCCUCUGACGUUAGCGGCGGACGGGUGAGUAACACGUGGAUAACCUACCUAUAAGACUGGGAUAACUUCGGGAAACCGGAGCUAAUACCGGAUAAUAUAUUGAACCGCAUGGUUCAAUAGUGAAAGACGGUUUUGCUGUCACUUAUAGAUGGAUCCGCGCCGCAUUAGCUAGUUGGUAAGGUAACGGCUUACCAAGGCGACGAUGCGUAGCCGACCUGAGAGAGUGAUCGGCCACACUGGAACUGUGACACGGUCCAGCAUCCUACGAGAGGCAGCAGUAGGGGAUCUUCCGCCAUGGGCGAAGGCCUGACGGAGCGACGCCGCGUGAGUGAUGAAGGUCUUCGGAUCGUAACACUCUGUUAUUAGGGAAGAAAAAAUGUGUAAGUAACUAUGCACGUCUUGACGGUACCUAAUCAGAAAGCCACGGCUAACUACGUG
RNAcentral lists this ribosomal RNA (497 nucleotides) under uncultured bacterium. RNAcentral describes it as "partial 16S ribosomal RNA". It matches the Rfam family "Bacterial small subunit ribosomal RNA", at positions 28 to 507 of the family's 1533-position model. The record is from RNAcentral.